This 371-nucleotide long non-coding RNA is filed under the name Olea europaea subsp. europaea. Lineage: Eukaryota; Viridiplantae; Streptophyta; Magnoliopsida; Lamiales; Oleaceae. The record is from RNAcentral.
AAACUAUUUUAGUUUAUCCCACAUAGAAAUUUUAUCAAAACAAAGACUAGUUUAUAUAUGGCUACAUUUGUAUGUGUAAUCACGUGUAGCAUAAAUGCUCUCUCAAUGUAUGCACGUAUAGGGUGAAAAUCGCAGACCAAAUUAGUUCUUUAGGCCUUGAACUAGUGACCGAUAUAGAUGAAUGUCGGAUCGAAUGAACAUUUGCACUCCAACAACUAAGCUGGUUGUUUGAAAUUAGAGCAAGUCUGGAAGAGAAACGAACUUGAUGGAAAUUUGGCAAGGAUAUCCUUCAGCCUUUUUCUUCAACACGCAUCAAGUAUUUGUAGAAAAACUAACGUAACCGUAUUUAGGAACUUUUAAUUUACUGGACA